GUGACCUCGAAUCAGG
Molecule: ribosomal RNA, 16 nt
Filed under: Beauveria bassiana
Lineage: Eukaryota; Fungi; Ascomycota; Sordariomycetes; Hypocreales; Cordycipitaceae
Description: partial 28S ribosomal RNA
Source: RNAcentral